Molecule: long non-coding RNA, 609 nt
Organism: Vidua macroura (Pin-tailed whydah)
Lineage: Eukaryota; Metazoa; Chordata; Aves; Passeriformes; Viduidae
Exons: 2
Source: RefSeq, a predicted model, not a curated record
CUCUGAAGGAAGCACAGUGCUUGAAGUACUUCAGUUCUGAAAGCCUCUCUUAUCCAGUGGAGCCCCUAAAUGAACAGCUGAUCUGGGUCAGCCCUAACAGACAGUGGCCUAACUUGAAACCCUGCUGUAGGCAUCUGUCUUUGGCUGCUGCUGGAAAUGAGACACUGGCUCGAUGAACCUCUGCUGUGGCCGCACACAGCUCUGUACCUCUACCAAAACCUGCCAGUGCAAUACACAAGUGUCUGUCGAGGCUCCUGCAAGCAUCCUGCUGAGUCUCUGUCGUGUUUUGCUGCGUGUUUCCAACUGCAGUGGCAGUUCAAGGAUGUGUGACACAGAAGGAGCCCAUCUGCCAGUGAGAUAAGGGACUCUGCCUUAUGCUUGUGGUUGGAUGCAGGCUCCCACUCUUCUGCUUUCAGUGGUGCCUGAAAUUUGCCUAGCAGCCCCUUUAGUUUUAAAAUGUAUAUUAGUAAUUUGGAUUUACACACUGCCUGGGGUUUGUGUGGCUGUUCUUGCAGUGUAAACAUGUGUGUUCAGUUUUUAGGUCUCUGUGCACAGAAAGCAGUUCUUCUCAUUGUUAGCUCUCUGCUUAAAUAAAAGCUAAUAAAGAAA